RNAcentral lists this ribosomal RNA (253 nucleotides) under uncultured bacterium. RNAcentral's name for it is "partial 16S ribosomal RNA". It matches the Rfam family "Bacterial small subunit ribosomal RNA", at positions 524 to 776 of the family's 1533-position model. The record is from RNAcentral.
UACGUAGGGUGCAAGCGUUGUCCGGAAUUAUUGGGCGUAAAGAGCUCGUAGGCGGUUUGUCGCGUCUGCCGUGAAAGUCCGAGGCUCAACUCCGGAUCUGCGGUGGGUACGGGCAGACUAGAGUGAUGUAGGGGAGACUGGAAUUCCUGGUGUAGCGGUGAAAUGCGCAGAUAUCAGGAGGAACACCGAUGGCGAAGGCAGGUCUCUGGGCAUUAACUGACGCUGAGGAGCGAAAGCAUGGGGAGCGAACAGG